AGGUUUUAUACUUCACCAAGGCAAACCUUGUUCCUUCACAAUGGAGGCUUCAACAACCAGCAGGAUGCCUUGCAAAUAAAUAUUUCUCUCAGAGCCUGUGUGGAUUUGGUAGUGUGUUUGUUUUCUUGAAGUAAGGCACAGUCUUUCUGGAUCAGUUAUCUGCAAAAAGCAUGAAGAAACUUCCAGAAUGGGAUAAAUUUUGUGAAGGGAAAGUCUUGAUGGCCAUCAACACACUUGAAGAGACAUUCCGAGGAAAGCUCUUCAAAUGAAAAGCUGUUCGAACUUAUUUUCUGACACAUCAAAGAAGUUCCUGGAGAGACAGUGGGAAUAUAUAACUAGCCAUCAUCACAUGCUUACA
Non-coding RNA from Ictidomys tridecemlineatus (thirteen-lined ground squirrel), 358 nucleotides. The record is from RefSeq and is a predicted model, not a curated record. NCBI's taxonomy places the organism in Eukaryota, Metazoa, Chordata, Mammalia, Rodentia, Sciuridae.